Molecule: non-coding RNA, 567 nt
Organism: Paramuricea clavata
Lineage: Eukaryota; Metazoa; Cnidaria; Anthozoa; Malacalcyonacea; Plexauridae
Source: the annotation of a GenBank genome assembly
GCAGAAAUCAACUUAAUCUACGACAAAUGGCUCUACAUUAUCGUGAACUGGAAACCUACAUCUGGCCUCUUCAUUGCUUUAGAUGGCUUCCCCAAAUCCUCAGAUCCCAAAGGUAGCCCUGCAACUGGACUACAACCUUAAACAAGAACCCCAAAUUUCUGUCUUGGUAGAAACGUUGGCGGAGCUGGUUUCUAUUUUACCAAAUUUUACCUUGCCUCUUUGGUGGUGUUCAAGGAAUUUUUAUCAGAGUCUCUUAUAUAUCCUGUUUACUCGUAUUAUCAUUCUAAUUAGCCUGCGUGGCAGGCUCAUUGGUAUUUUUUUAAAUAAUACAGUAGCUAGCCUAUAUAUAAUACACGAUCAAUUUGAAAGACUGAUUGUUGCCAUACAACAUUUGUUACAUCAUUCUGUAGUCUAAUACAUUUAUACACUAUCGUACUAUUAAAAUGGAUGCACUUAUAAUUGCAUUUCUGAGGUCAUGCCUACAGUGCAGGUAACAAUCUUUCUAUUGGUUAGAAUUUUUCCUCGCAGCAUUUAUGUUGCGUUUCGGCUAGCUUGUCAUGCAAUACG